This 248-nucleotide ribosomal RNA is filed under the name uncultured bacterium. Its description in RNAcentral is "partial 16S ribosomal RNA". It matches the Rfam family "Bacterial small subunit ribosomal RNA", at positions 32 to 265 of the family's 1533-position model. The record is from RNAcentral.
AUUGAAACGCUGGCGGCAGGCCUAACACAUGCAAAGUCGAAACGGUAAACAGGAAGAAGCUUGCUUCUUUGCUGACGAGUGGCGGACGGGUGAGUAAAUGUCUGGGAAAACUGCCUGAUGGAGGGGGACAACUACUGGAAACGGUAGCUAAUACCGCAUAAACGUCGCAAGACCAAAGAGGGGGACCUUCGGGCCUCUUGCCAUCGGAUGUGCCCAGAUGGGAUUAGCUAGUAGGUGGGGUAACGGCU